This 427-nucleotide ribosomal RNA is filed under the name uncultured bacterium. RNAcentral describes it as "partial 16S ribosomal RNA". It matches the Rfam family "Bacterial small subunit ribosomal RNA", at positions 354 to 796 of the family's 1533-position model. The record is from RNAcentral.
GUGGGGAAUAUUGGGCAAUGGGGGCAACCCUGACCCAGCGACGCCGCGUGAGGGAAGAAGGCCUUAGGGUCGUAAACCUCUGUUGUGUGGGAAGAAGGAAGUGACGGUACCACACGAGGAAGUCCCGGCUAACUACGUGCCAGCAGCCGCGGUAAUACGUAGGGGACGAGCGUUGUCCGGAAUUACGGGGCGUAAAGGGCGCGUAGGCGGUCAUUUAAGUCAGCUGUGAAAUGGUCCGGCUCAACCGGAUCAUGCGGUUGAAACUGGAUGACUGGAGUGCUGGAGAGGCAAAUGGAAUUCCCAGUGUAGCGGUGAAAUGCGUAGAUAUUGGGAAGAACACCGGUGGCGAAGGCGACUUGCUGGCCAGCAACUGACGCUGAGGCGCGAAAGCCAGGGGAGCAAACGGGAUUAGAAACCCGGGUAGUCC